This 196-nucleotide ribosomal RNA is filed under the name uncultured bacterium. Its description in RNAcentral is "partial 16S ribosomal RNA". It matches the Rfam family "Bacterial small subunit ribosomal RNA", at positions 1305 to 1500 of the family's 1533-position model. The record is from RNAcentral.
CUGCAACUCGACUACAUGAAGCUGGAAUCGCUAGUAAUCGCGGAUCAGAAUGCCGCGGUGAAUACGUUCCCGGGUCUUGUACACACCGCCCGUCACACCAUGGGAGUCGGGAAUGCCCGAAGCCAGUGACCCAAGCGAAAGCAGGGAGCUGUCGAAGGCAGGCCGGAUAACUGGGGUGAAGUCGUAACAAGGUACC